RNAcentral lists this ribosomal RNA (464 nucleotides) under uncultured bacterium. RNAcentral's name for it is "partial 16S ribosomal RNA". It matches the Rfam family "Bacterial small subunit ribosomal RNA", at positions 29 to 507 of the family's 1533-position model. The record is from RNAcentral.
ACGAACGCUGGCGGCGUGCUUAACACAUGCAAGUCGAACGGAAAGGCCCUGCUUGCAGGGUACUCGAGUGGCGAACGGGUGAGUAACACGUGGGUGAACUGCCCUGCACUUCGGGAUAAGCCUGGGAAACUGGGUCUAAUACCGGAUAGGAGCCAUUUUUAGUGUGAUGGUUGGAAAGUUUUUUCGGUGUAGGAUGAGCUCGCGGCCUAUCAGCUUGUUGGUGGGGUAAUGGCCUACCAAGGCGGCGACGGGUAGCCGGCCUGAGAGGGUGGACGGCCACAUGGGAAGUGAGAGCCGCCCCGGCCCCCGAGGGGGGGCGGGAGUGGGAAAUUUGGCACAAUGGGCACAGGCUUGAUGCAGCGGCGCGGGGGGGGGGAUGCGGGCCUUGGGGUGGAAACCUCCUUCCCAUAGGGAGGAUUCUUUUGGGGACGGUCCCUAAAAAAAAGCCCCGGGCAAACUACGCC